CGAGGAAUAUUGCACAAUGGGCGCAAGCCUGAUGCAGCAACGCCGCGUGCGGGACGAGGGCCUUCGGGUCGUAAACCGCUUUUCUGGGGAAAGAGCAAGGACGGUACCUCAGGAAUAAGUCUCGGCUAACUACGUGCCAGCAGCCGCGGUAAAACGUAGGAGGCGAGCGUUAUCCGGAUUUACUGGGCGUAAAGCGCACGCAGGCGGCUCUGUGAGUCGGACGUGAAAGCUCCCGGCUUAACCGGGAGAGGCCGUUCGAUACUGCGGGGCUUGAGGUAGGGAGAGGAAUGCGGAAUUCCCGGUGUAGUGGUGGAAUGCGUAGAUAUCGGGAGGAACGCCUGUGGCGAAAGCGGCAUUCUGGCCCCCACCUGACGCUGAGGUGCGAAAGCGUGGGUAGCAAACAG
Molecule: ribosomal RNA, 404 nt
Filed under: uncultured bacterium
Lineage: Bacteria
Description: bacterial SSU rRNA
Rfam family: Bacterial small subunit ribosomal RNA
Source: RNAcentral